AUUGAACGCUGGCGGCAUGCCUUACACAUGCAAGUCGAACGGCAGCACGGGUGCUUGCACCUGGUGGCGAGUGGCGAACGGGUGAGUAAUACAUCGGAACAUGUCCUGUAGUGGGGGAUAGCCCGGCGAAAGCCGGAUUAAUACCGCAUACGAUCUACGGAUGAAAGCGGGGGACCUUCGGGCCUCGCGCUAUAGGGUUGGCCGAUGGCUGAUUAGCUAGUUGGUGGGGUAAAGGCCUACCAAGGCGACGAUCAGUAGCUGGUCUAGAGGACGACCAGCCACACUGGGACUGAGACACGGCCCAGACUCCUACGGGAGGCAGCAGUGGGGAAUUUUGGACAAUGGGCGAAAGCCUGAUCCAGCAAUGCCGCGUGUGUGAAGAAGGCCUUCGGGUUGUAAAGCACUUUUGUCCGGAAAGAAAUCCUUGGCUCUAAUACAGUCGGGGGAUGACGGUACCGGAAGAAUAAGCACCGGCUAACUACGUG
RNAcentral lists this ribosomal RNA (485 nucleotides) under uncultured bacterium. RNAcentral describes it as "partial 16S ribosomal RNA". It matches the Rfam family "Bacterial small subunit ribosomal RNA", at positions 30 to 507 of the family's 1533-position model. The record is from RNAcentral.